RNAcentral lists this ribosomal RNA (738 nucleotides) under uncultured Thermotogae bacterium. Its description in RNAcentral is "bacterial SSU rRNA". It matches the Rfam family "Bacterial small subunit ribosomal RNA", at positions 27 to 774 of the family's 1533-position model. The record is from RNAcentral. Lineage: Bacteria; Thermotogati; Thermotogota; Thermotogae.
GGGUGAACGCUGGCGGCGUGCUUGACACAUGCAAGUCGAACGGUAUGUGGCAACACAUAGAGUGGCGAACGGGUGAGUAACACGUGGGAACGUACCCUACGCAGGGGGAUAACUGACCGAAAGGACAGCUAAUACCGCAUAAGACCGAAAGGUGAAAGGUGCAACUGCACCGGCGAAGGAGCGGCCCGCGGACCAUCAGCUAGUUGGUGGGGUAAGAGCCUACCAAGGCAACGACGGAUAGCCGGCGUGAGAGCGUGGCCGGCCACAAGGACACUGAGAUACGGGUCCUACUCCUACGGGAGGCAGCAGUGCGGAAUUUUAGAUAAUGGAGGCAACUCUGAUCUAGCGACGCCGCGUGCAGGAAGAAGGUCUUCGGAUUGUAAACUGCUGUGGUAAGGGAAAAAUGCCAUGUAGAGUGGAAAGCUACAUGGAGGGAUGGUACUUUACUAGAAAGCCCCGGCUAACUACGUGCCAGCAGCCGCGGUAAUACGUAGGGGGCGAGCGUUACCCGGAAUCACUGGGCGUAAAGGGAGCGUAGGUGGCCUGACAUGUCAACUGUGAAAACCCGGAGCUCAACUCCGGACUUGCAGUUGAAACUGCCAGGCUUGAGGACGGUAGAGGAAGACGGAACUGCCAGUGUAGGGGUAAAAUCCUUAGAUAUUGGCAGGAACGCCGGUGACGAAGGUGGUUUUCUGGGCCGGUUCUGACACUGAUGCUCGAAAGCCAGGGGAGCGAACG